UCUUAUCUUCCUCUCCUUCUUCUCUUCCAGCUGCAGCUGCCAUCGCCGCAGCCGCAGCAGCCCCUUCUUCCCCUUCUCUUCUUCCUCUCCUUCCCUUCUUCCUUCCUCUUCCUCUUUCCCUGCCUCAGCCGCAGCUGCCACAGCCGCAGCCGCAGUUGCUUCUUUCCCUUCUCCUCUUCCUUCUCCUUCUUCUUUCUCCUUCCAUUCUUCUUCUUCUCUUCUUCCUCACCUUCUCUUCCUCUCCUUCUCUUCCAGCUACAGCUGCCACCGCC
RNAcentral lists this long non-coding RNA (272 nucleotides) under Musa acuminata (dwarf banana). RNAcentral describes it as "long non-coding RNA (MACU_LNC011296)". Lineage: Eukaryota; Viridiplantae; Streptophyta; Magnoliopsida; Zingiberales; Musaceae. The record is from RNAcentral.